GCCUCUUUGGCUUAGUGGUACAGCGUCUCACUCGUAUACAAUAUCCGACAUGAGAAGAUCCUCGGUUCGAUUCCGAGAAGAGGCA
Aaosphaeria arxii CBS 175.79 is the source of this 85-nucleotide non-coding RNA. The record is from the annotation of a RefSeq genome assembly. Lineage: Eukaryota; Fungi; Ascomycota; Dothideomycetes; Pleosporales.